RNAcentral lists this transfer RNA (73 nucleotides) under Bos taurus (domestic cattle). It matches the Rfam family "tRNA". Rfam says of the family: Transfer RNA (tRNA) molecules are approximately 80 nucleotides in length. Their secondary structure includes four short double-helical elements and three loops (D, anti-codon, and T loops). Lineage: Eukaryota; Metazoa; Chordata; Mammalia; Artiodactyla; Bovidae. RNAcentral also lists the same sequence under 2 other names. The record is from Rfam by way of RNAcentral.
UUGUAGCAGGCUCAGACGGUAAAAGCGUCUGCCUGCAAUGCGGGAGACCUGGGUUCGAUUCCUGGGUCGGAAA